UGGUGAUGACUCAGGCAGAUUAUCCCUCAGGAAAGUAAUGAUCGAAUUCCUACUUCUACUCCUCUCAAAGCACCACCCCUCGCUCGUUAAUGCGUCUGCCACCACCGCAUUUAAACUAAUGCCAGUCACAACUGGUCCUCUCUCGCCAACCAAAUCAAUAAGGAGGCCAAGGGAGGUCCAAUUAUCCAACGAGAAGCUUGCUGUAAUCCCCUAACCAAUCUGACAAUGAAUAAAAGGUCUCGCUUCAGCCCUCAACUUACACAGAGAUUUCCAAAUCCAACUUCCUCGACUCGAUGGUUACAGCGUCCAGAAGUUCUCUGUCCGUAAUAGAAAACUUCUUUACGAUGGUUGCAACUUCUUCACUUAUUCGCUUUCUUGACAAGCAAAUCCGUAAUCAAAUCACUUCUUUACGAGGGCAAGGAGGAUAUGAUAAGGCAAUGGAGAUGUGGUUUAGCACACGGUGAUAUUUCUAUGUGUUAGUGAUCAUGAAGUUUUAGUUUCCAAAACUCUUGAACUAAGAUGCAUUAAUUUUGUAAAAAUGUUUUUGAGAUGAAUAAACUUAAUAUUCUUUAAAAAAAAAGAGAAUAUACUAAAUUAAUGAUUCCUAAACUUAACUAAUAUUGUCACUAAAAAAACUUACUCUUCAUCGGCUUAUGCACUGAUAAAAAACGCAGCAGUCAAUCAAGUGUUCUUUCAUGUAACCUCAAACAAGAUACUGUGGGGGAAGUGAAAAGUGUGUAAUAACACAGACUCAAAACACAAUGCUAGACAAGUGUUUCUUUAUCCUUGACAUCUUGAACAAGAUGAGAGACCAUGCCAUCAAACGAGCCGCUUGCAUAGUUUAGCGAAACCAACUAUUGUAACGUAAUUGUUAUAUUUUAAAGUCACAACUCACAACAAUUUCUUUUUUGUCAUUGUUUCGUAGAAAUUCGUGACAUACAUUUAGUCCUUCAAUCGUCAUAAACUGGCCACACAAGAUUCAGUCACAUAUUCGUCAUCUAUCCUAUACUAAAAGGGGGAUAUCCUCCCUUCUCAGCCCCUCCACGUAGGACUAAAAAAUCUACCAAUGAAGAACAUAUUUUUUGACACGUCAUAUCAGUCUAAAAAUGAAUAACAAUAAACUUCUCCGUGUGGGUUUACAAUAUUAAAGAUUGGCCCAGAUCGAGCCCACAUCUCAAAAUUCUAAAUUCCUAAUGAAGCGUUGAUUGUUUCUUCCAUAGAGACUCCGUCUUCUCCGUUUCCUAUAGCAGGCAAUAAAUCUCCAUUACUCUCUUCAACAAUCAAUUAUGUUCUUCACUCCCUCUUAAUGAAUUCGUCUCACCUCCCUUUCUUUCUCCUCCUUUAUAAACUUACUUCCAAAUAAACCUGAAGAUCCCCUGAACUGAAGUAAUGGCGAUGUAAGCCUAACAGUUCCAAAGCUAAAGCGCAUGAAUCGUAUCCUCCUCCAGGUAUUACCAAUCUGCGCCUUACGAAGGUGCCUGUCAGGGUACUUCUCAGCCUCAGCCUACACAACAAAAUACAAUCACUUCCUGCUAUCAUGAUCAUCACUAUUAGUACAACGCUAACUCUGGUUCGUUCUUUGAUCUCCUUCUUUCUGGAUCCACCAUAAAUUAUUUUCCUAGAUCACUGUAUCCUUUACCUACUGUACGUGUUUUAGGAGUAUUGAAUCAGUAAUAUGGAUACUGAUUCAGUUAUUGCGUUCUUAGUCUUAAAAUGAACUCUCAAACUAAAUGUGAAUUAACAUAGGAUCUCCUUGAUGUGUUUAGAUUUGUGACUGAGAUAUUGAUGUGAUAUUAUGGUAAUUCUCUAAGGCAUCAUUUGAUAGUUCCGACGUGAUAAUCUAAAAAAUACUAUGUAAAACGUGUUAAGUUUAUGUCAUCAGGACAUCAUCUUCUUCAGUUAAACAAAGUCUCAUCUUAUGUAUUUUAGAGGAAUGCCGCUUAAGUUUAAUAGCUAUCGGAUCGAACCACUAAGACCGAAAACAAAAGUCAACUUCGUUGCCUGUUUUUUAAUGUUUGUCAGAUUCAUUAAAGAGGAGAUUCAGUGGAAGAUAAGAUCAAAAGGAACAAGACCAAGAAUAUAUCACUCCAUCAAUAUGUUGUUCUCUAGGAAUACAAAGAACUGAUCAAAAAGGCAAGUCAUGGUCCUUCUCUACAGUCUGUCAAGCUAUGAAGGUUCUGAAACCGAAGGAAAUGUGAGAAUCAUUUUACAUCUUUCCUUUAUUAAAUAAUCUCAUGGAAGAACUUUCCUUUUGUAUGUAUAGUUGGAAUUUUUAGAAUGAUUGAAUCUCAACUUCAGGGUUAACGUAAGCUCAUCAUCGUCCUUUUUCACAUAUCUCAGACUCGGAUCUUUAGAUUAGUAGACACAAAGGAGACCUUUCAAAUUGCAGAAUCAUUCGUUGCGUGUUAUGGAUGACUGGUGGUUACAGAUCCGAGGCUUCGCCUUACAUAUUAUCACUUCGUCUGAAUCUCAGGAACUCUAGGUUUUGGAACCACAAUCGAACCUCACGCUGAUCUAGAAUCGGUGGAAUUCUAGAUUUUUUUUUUAGCUAAAGAGACAAAAUGAUGUAAUCAGUGUUGAGGGAAGAAGAAAGAAAUGGAAGCUAAAAAUAUAAUAAAAGAUUUGUUUAAUUAAGAAGAACAUAAUGAAAGUUUUAAGAAAAUGAUGCCUUCGUUCAAAAAAGAAGUUCUGAAAAAUGAGUCAUCACUAAUAGUUAGUUCAAGAAAGCAAUAGAAAUGAAGUCCAAAUAAUAAAUAAAUAUCAAAUCAUUAACGAGUGAAUACAUGAUAUAUACAGAUAGCAACAUACAACUUAUUUACAAAUAAAUUUUCAUAUGUCAUCAAAAUAAAUAAUAUAGUUUUGAUAUAUAUUUUCAGUCACAUUAAUAUUUUCAUAACAUUUUUUCCAUCAUAGCAAAAUAGUAAACAAAUUUGUAUAUAUCAUAUACACUACUAAAAAUUAUUAGAUCCUUUAAAUAAUAACAAAAAAAAAAGAUAGAAAGAAGGUACAAAAAUUGGAAAUAGCAAUUCUCUGCAAUUAAAGAAUAAAGCAAUAAAAUUU
This is a long non-coding RNA of Brassica rapa (field mustard), 3060 nucleotides long. RefSeq lists it as uncharacterized. The record is from RefSeq and is a predicted model, not a curated record. Lineage: Eukaryota; Viridiplantae; Streptophyta; Magnoliopsida; Brassicales; Brassicaceae.